RNA transcript from Oncorhynchus keta (chum salmon), 1990 nucleotides. It is a transcript of the gene named kelch domain-containing protein 1, with no coding region annotated. The record is from RefSeq and is a predicted model, not a curated record. The transcript is spliced from 10 exons. NCBI's taxonomy places the organism in Eukaryota, Metazoa, Chordata, Actinopteri, Salmoniformes, Salmonidae.
UUGUGGCGUUUUCAGGUAAGGGGGCGUGGCCAGAGGGAGUAAUGGUCUGGUGACAAGGUGACAUGACCUUUGACCUUCCGCUACAAUAAACGCUGUCAGGGCAAGAACAACUUGUUUUCCUAGAGGUUGGAACGUCUCAGCUACUUAAAAACAGCCAGCCCCUGCACAUUCUAUUCGCUGCCAAAGUCUGUAGUCAAAAUUAGCAGCUUGGGCCUAUAAAAAAAAAUAAAAGAUUUUGAACAGAUUUGGGUCAGAGAUAAUAAAAAUCCUGGCAGAGAUAAUAAAACUCCUGGCAGAGGAAAUAAAAAUCCUGGCAUGGAGAUCUUUGUACAUUUCAUUCUCUCCUUUUUUCUUUGUGUUUUCACUUUCUAAGAAGUUUUGUAGAAACUAUGGAUUCUGCCGUUGAGAAACACCGUGUGGAACUUGUUGCCCUUGAGCGAAGUGGUCACACAGCUGUAUUAGAGGGAAAUACUCUGCACGUCUGGGGAGGCUACAUGUCAACCGCUGAGGGUGAAGUGUUCCUUCCCAGUGAUGAAAUCUGGUUGUAUGACUUAGAAAGAGGUGUAUGGGAAAUGUGUCAAAUGUCAGGAGAGAUCCCGCCCCCCAUGUCAGGCACCUGCAGCUGCUUUCUAAUUGGCCACAUGUACAUAUUCGGAGGAUAUGAUGACACGGGACAGACCAAUCAGCUUUACCGUGUCAACCUCCUGGAUGGGGACUACAGAUGGAAGAAAGUGAAAGCUGAGAGUGGCUCUCCUCCUUCACCCAGAGAUAAGCUGUGCUGCUGGGUUUUCAACAACAGGGUCACCUACUUUGGUGGAUAUGGUCACAAGACACUUGAUGACAUCAUGGAUGACAAAAGCUUCAUCGUGGACACGGCAUCAUUGGAGCAGAACGUUGGUUGGGGAUGGAACAAUGAAGUCCACGUUUUUGAUACAACACUAGCCAGCUGGAGGGAACCACAGAGCUCUGUAAGAGAGACACACACUGUAUGAUUACAUCACAACAUAACUUCACUGUGUGGAACUUAGUUAGCUUGAAAUGUCGCUGAUGGAGCUAUCCAAUCGGUACCUGUUGUAUAACUCAAUCCGUUCCUACAUUGUCAAGCUGGUGGUUGUGUGUGUUGGUGACAUAGAGGACCCUGGUUCAAGUCCAGUCAGAGGAGAGGUAGAGGAACCUGGUUCAAGCCCAGUCAGAGGAGAGGUAGAGGACCCUGGUUCAAGUCCAGUCAGAGGAGAGGUAGAGGACCCUGGUUCAAGCCCAGUCAGAGGAGAGGUAGAGGACCCUGGUUCAAGCCCAGUCAGAGGAGAGGUAGAGGACCCUGGUUCAAGCCCAGUCAGAGGAGAGGUAGAGGACCCUGGUUCAAGCCCAGUCAGAGGAGAGGUAGAGGACCCUGGUUCAAGCCCAGUCAGAGGAGAGAUAGAGGACCCUGGUUCAAGCCCAGUCAGAGGAGAGGUAGAGGACCCUGGUUCAAGCCCAGUCAGAGGAGAGGUAGAGGACUCUGGUUCAAGCCCAGUCAGAGGAGAGGUAGAGGACCCUGGUUCAAGCCCAGUCAGAGGAGAGGUAGAGGACUCUGGUUCAAGCCCAGUCAGAGGAGAGGUAGAGGAACCUGGUUCAAGCCCAGUCAGAGGAGAGGUAGAGGACCCUGGUUCAAGCCCAGUCAGAGGAGAGGUAGAGGACCCUGGUUCAAGCCCAGUCAGAGGAGAGGUAGAGGACCCUGGUUCAAGCCCAGUCAGAGGAGAGGUAGAGGACCCUGGUUCAAGUCCAGUCAGAGGAGAGGUAGAGGACCCUGGUUCAAGCCCAGUCAGAGGAGAGGUAGAGGACCCUGAACUAAUUCAUUAUUUGCACACAAACAGCCAAGCAACAAUUUGUCCUUCUGUACCUGUACUGUAAGUAGCUCUUUCUGACGACAGGGUCGUGCUCCUGCCCCCAGAGCUGCCCAUGCAGGUGCAACACUUGGUCAUAAAGGGUAUGUCUAUGGGGGCAGAUUACU